This 1380-nucleotide ribosomal RNA is filed under the name Corynebacterium diphtheriae. Its description in RNAcentral is "bacterial SSU rRNA". It matches the Rfam family "Bacterial small subunit ribosomal RNA". Lineage: Bacteria; Bacillati; Actinomycetota; Actinomycetes; Mycobacteriales; Corynebacteriaceae. The record is from RNAcentral.
AGGACGAACGCUGGCGGCGUGCUUAACACAUGCAAGUCGAACGGAAAGGCCUAGCUUGCUAGGUACUCGAGUGGCGAACGGGUGAGUAACACGUGGGUGAUCUGCCUCGUACUUCGGGAUAAGCCUGGGAAACUGGGUCUAAUACUGGAUAGGACCAUGCUUUAGUGUGUGUGGUGGAAAGUUUUUCGGUACGAGAUGAGCCCGCGGCCUAUCAGCUUGUUGGUGGGGUAAUGGCCUACCAAGGCGUCGACGGGUAGCCGGCCUGAGAGGGUGGACGGCCACAUUGGGACUGAGAUACGGCCCAGACUCCUACGGGAGGCAGCAGUGGGGAAUAUUGCACAAUGGGCGCAAGCCUGAUGCAGCGACGCCGCGUGGGGGAUGACGGCCUUCGGGUUGUAAACCUCUUUCGCUAGGGACGAAGCUUUUGUGACGGUACCUAGAUAAGAAGCACCGGCUAACUACGUGCCAGCAGCCGCGGUAAUACGUAGGGUGCGAGCGUUGUCCGGAAUUACUGGGCGUAAAGAGCUCGUAGGUGGUUUGUCGCGUCGUCUGUGAAAUUCCGGGGCUUAACUUCGGGCGUGCAGGCGAUACGGGCAUAACUUGAGUGCUGUAGGGGAGACUGGAAUUCCUGGUGUAGCGGUGGAAUGCGCAGAUAUCAGGAGGAACACCGAUGGCGAAGGCAGGUCUCUGGGCAGUAACUGACGCUGAGGAGCGAAAGCAUGGGGAGCGAACAGGAUUAGAUACCCUGGUAGUCCAUGCCGUAAACGGUGGGCGCUAGGUGUGAGGGUCUUCCACGACUUUCGUGCCGUAGCUAACGCAUUAAGCGCCCCGCCUGGGGAGUACGGCCGCAAGGCUAAAACUCAAAGGAAUUGACGGGGGCCCGCACAAGCGGCGGAGCAUGUGGAUUAAUUCGAUGCAACGCGAAGAACCUUACCUGGGCUUGACAUAUGCAGGAUCGGCGUAGUGAUACGUUUUCCCUUGUGGUCUGUAUACAGGUGGUGCAUGGUUGUCGUCAGCUCGUGUCGUGAGAUGUUGGGUUAAGUCCCGCAACGAGCGCAACCCUUGUCUUAUGUUGCCAGCACGUGAUGGUGGGGACUCAUGAGAGACUGCCGGGGUUAACUCGGAGGAAGGUGGGGAUGACGUCAAAUCAUCAUGCCCCUUAUGUCCAGGGCUUCACACAUGCUACAAUGGUCGGUACAACGCGCUGCGAGCCUGUGAGGGUGAGCGAAUCGCUGAAAGCCGGCCUCAGUUCGGAUUGGGGUCUGCAACUCGACCCCAUGAAGUCGGAGUCGCUAGUAAUCGCAGAUCAGCAACGCUGCGGUGAAUACGUUCCCGGGCCUUGUACACACCGCCCGUCACGUCAUGAAAGUUGGUAACACC